UGGAUUCUAUUGAACGUAUUUCCAGAAGGACAGUGGUCCUUGUCUGAGAGAUUUUAAGCCUGUCUGUUUGACUGGGUCAUAUCAUGGGGUUAGUGCAAUGCAUCCUUCAUACCCCCAUCACUCAGGAACACCACUCCUUUCGAGGCUGGCUAUUUCAAACUAAUGUCUUACUCUGCCUUUGCUAGAGCAGACAGCAUAGACAAAAGUGUAUGGCCAUACUCCUGACUGGAGGAAACCAUAUGAUGCAUAACAAGGAAGCUUAAUUCGAGGGGAAUGAUAGUCACCCUGUCACCCCAAUGCGUGGCAGGUAUUAUCAUGUCCUAGCAAUUAGGAAGUCUGCUAUGAGUGUCCCCAGGUGCUUGCUGACAUUUGUGGGCUAUUAACUGCAGCUAAAGCUAUAUCAGGUUUUAUAAAUGUUAUGUAUUAAUUAAUGAUUGUUAUUAUUAACAAUCAUUGUACCCAUCUGAGUUAUAAAUUUACAAACUUUCUCAUAGUAGAAGAGCUACCACGCUUUUUAGGCUUUUUAGGCUUUAGAGUUUACACACAAGUGCUGUAACUGUAAGUGAUGGGUCAUGUUAUCAGUUCAUAUUGGCAUUAUAUUUGUAUGAUAAUGGUCUGAUUACACCAAAACCUCAUGAAAACUUGGAUGUAAAGCAAUUAUCAUACACACCUUGUAUUUAAACAUGAUCUAGUAUCCAUAAAUUACAUUUGAUAUGAAUCUUGUGGGGGCGGCACGGUAGUGUAGUGGUUAGUGCUGUCGCCUCACAGCAAGAGGGUCCAAGUUCGAGCCCCGUGGCCGAUGAGGGCCUUUCUGUGUGGAGUUUGCAUGUUCUCCCCGUGUCCGCGUGGGUUUCCUCCGGGUGCUCCGGUUUCCCCCACAGUCCAAAGACAUGCAGGUUAGGUUAACUGGUGACUCUAAAUUGACCAUGGGUGUGAAUGUGAGUGUGAAUGGUUGUCUGUGUCUAUGUGUCAGCCCUGUGAUGACCUGGCGACUUGUCCAGGGUGUACCCCGCCUUUCGCCCGUAGUCAGCUGGGAUAGGCUCCAGCUUGCCUGCGACCCUGUAGAACAGGAUAAAGCGGCUAGAGAUAAUGAUACGAGAUGAGAUGUAUCUUGUGUUUAUCUGUCAUGAAAUAUGUAAACCCGCCCCACCCAAAUUUUCAGCCAGUGAUGGAAUACAAAUGCCUGAAAAAUCCAUCAGAUCUACAGUAACAGAUACAACACUCAAAAUGAUCAAGGGCUUUAAUGACAAUGCACAAGUUGAAACUGAUACAUGUGUAACAAUGUCAAUUUAUGGGGGAAUAUGGGUUGAAUGUAAUGCCACACUCACAACCUGACAUGAGUGUUUUGGACAAAUAUGGGUCGCAGGGUUUGGUAGCUCGCAGUCGUGCCGCAGGGUUGUGGUGAACCCUGGAGAAAGUUUGGGGGAGGAGUACGGCAAAGUACUUGUCAAGUACAGGUUGCACGCCUGACUUCCUCGAGGCAUGGGAAAAAUUGCACCGUUAGCCCGUGAGCCGUGCAUGUCUGACGCACGUGAUCAGUGAGUGUGGAGUGCAUUUGACUUGCAUUUUACCAGUUUCCUGCACUGGGAGUACGGGCUGCCCUUGUGAAGCAUGUGUGAAGCACGUGAUUAGCACGUGACAAUCACUCAUAACUUGCAUGUAACGCAAGCCAGGAGUGGGUAUAAAAGCGUGUCUGCAACAUUCUGCAUCUGUCUUUCGACUGAACACUGGAUAUUUUGUGGGAAAAAUUUGAAAAUUUCAGUUUAAAGUUUAGAAAAUGAGACCCAAGAAGAAGCAAACAAAAGUGAAGUAACCCAGCCUGAAACGGCAGAGGGGGAGAAGGAGGAAGAAUUUGAUGAUGGUAGCAGCACCGGCAAGCCCUGCACGGACAGGGAGAAGUAUGCCUUCAAGCCGGCAGAAGGCACAGCACCCUGCCAGAGGUAUUUUCACAGCUAGCGACGCCAUGCUCAGUGAUAAGGACCUCCCGACACGCCCUCCCACCACUCAGCGGGAGUAGGACAGUAGCUCGGAGUCAAAGUCAAAGUGUGUUUCAGUGCUCAAACUGUUGGGCUAUUUAGUUGGGAUUUUUUUUUACUAUGUAAUAAAAUGUGUUAUUCCCUUCUA
Neoarius graeffei (lesser salmon catfish) is the source of this 2124-nucleotide long non-coding RNA. RefSeq lists it as uncharacterized. The record is from RefSeq and is a predicted model, not a curated record. The transcript has 2 exons. NCBI's taxonomy places the organism in Eukaryota, Metazoa, Chordata, Actinopteri, Siluriformes, Ariidae.